AUGGGCGAAAGCCUGAUGCAGCAACGCCGCGUGAACAAUGAAGGUGCUUCGGAUGCGUAAAGUUCUGUUGCAGGGGAAGAUAAUGACGGUACCCUGUGAGGAAGCCCCGGCUAACUACGUGCCAGCAGCCGCGGUAAUACGUAGGGGGCUAGCGUUAUCCGGAUUUACUGGGCGUAAAGGGUGCGUAGGUGGUCCUUCAAGUCGGUGGUUAAAGGCUACGGCUCAACCGUAGUAAGCCGCCGAAACUGGAGGACUUGAGUGCAGGAGAGGAAAGUGGAAUUCCCAGUGUAGCGGUGAAAUGCGUAGAUAUUGGGAGGAACACCAGUAGCGAAGGCGGCUUUCUGGACUGCAACUGACACUGAGGCACGAAAGCGUGGGUAGCAAACAGGAUUAGAUACCCUGGUAGUCCACGCUGUAAACGAUGAGUACUAGGUGUCGGGGGUUACCCCCCUCGGUGCCGCAGCUAACGCAUUAAGUACUCCGCCUGGGGGAGUACGCACGCAAGUGUGAAACUCAAAGGAAUUGACGGGGACCGCACCAGUAGCGGAGCAUGUGGUUUAAUUCGAAGCACGCGAAGAACCUGACU
This 586-nucleotide ribosomal RNA is filed under the name Peptostreptococcus stomatis. RNAcentral's name for it is "bacterial SSU rRNA". It matches the Rfam family "Bacterial small subunit ribosomal RNA", at positions 371 to 975 of the family's 1533-position model. Lineage: Bacteria; Bacillati; Bacillota; Clostridia; Peptostreptococcales; Peptostreptococcaceae. The record is from RNAcentral.